This 500-nucleotide ribosomal RNA is filed under the name uncultured bacterium. RNAcentral's name for it is "bacterial SSU rRNA". It matches the Rfam family "Bacterial small subunit ribosomal RNA", at positions 30 to 504 of the family's 1533-position model. The record is from RNAcentral.
UGAACGCUGGCGGCGUGCUUAACACAUGCAAGUCGAACGAGAAAGGGAUUGCUUGCAGUCCUGAGUAGAGUGGCGCACGGGUGAGUAACACGUAGAUAAUCUACCUUCAAGCCUGGAAUAACUAUUCGAAAGGAUAGCUAAUACCGGAUGAAGUUGUUCAACUCAAGUUGAAUUAUGAAAGAUUGCCUCUUCUUGAAAGCAAUUGUUUGGAGAUGAGUUUGCGGACCAUUAGUUUGUUGGUGGGGUAAAGGCCUACCAAGACUACGAUGGUUAGCUGGUCUGAGAGGAUGAUCAGCCACACUGGAACUGGUACACGGUCCAGACUCCUACGGGAGGCAGCAGUGAGGAAUUUUGCGCAAUGGGGGAAACCCUGACGCAGCAACGCCGCGUGAGUGAAGAAGGCCCUUGGGUCGUAAAGCUCUGUCGACAGGGAAGAAAUUAUUAUACUUUAAUAAAGUAUAGUAUUGACGGUACCUGUAGAGGAAGCACCGGCUAACUCC